RNAcentral lists this ribosomal RNA (434 nucleotides) under uncultured Lachnospiraceae bacterium. Its description in RNAcentral is "partial 16S ribosomal RNA". It matches the Rfam family "Bacterial small subunit ribosomal RNA", at positions 341 to 792 of the family's 1533-position model. Lineage: Bacteria; Bacillati; Bacillota; Clostridia; Lachnospirales; Lachnospiraceae. The record is from RNAcentral.
ACGGAAGGCAGCAGUGGGGAAUAUUGCACAAUGGGGGAAACCCUGAUGCAGCGACGCCGCGUGAGUGAAGAAGUAUUUCGGUAUGUAAAGCUCUAUCAGCAAGGAAGAAAAUGACGGUACUUGACUAAGAAGCCCCGGCUAACUACGUGCCAGCAGCCGCGGUAAUACGUAGGGGGCAAGCGUUAUCCGGAUUUACUGGGUGUAAAGGGAGCGUAGACGGUGAGGCAAGUCUGAAGUGAAAUGCGGAGGCUCAACCUCCGAACUGCUUUGGAAACUGUCUAACUUGAGUGCAGGAGAGGUAAGUGGAAUUCCUAGUGUAGCGGUGAAAUGCGUAGAUAUUAGGAGGAACACCAGUGACGAAGGCGGCUUACUGGACUGUAACUGACGUUGAGGCUCGAAAGCGUGGGGAGCAAACAGGAUUAGAUACCCUGGUA